Molecule: long non-coding RNA, 1457 nt
Filed under: Chinchilla lanigera (long-tailed chinchilla)
Lineage: Eukaryota; Metazoa; Chordata; Mammalia; Rodentia; Chinchillidae
Description: lncRNA (ENSCLAG00000028289.1)
Source: RNAcentral
AUGCUUUACAUUCAUCCAAAUCGUCUGAGGGAAAACCCAGGGACAACUGUAGUCCCUGUAAGAGUACUGGACAUGGCACGAUAUUGCACCAAACUGCUACCUGGGGCCUGCUUUGAAUGUGAGGCAGCUAAUGCGCCUUAUUUUUUUCUUCAGAUGACUGAUGAGAUCCAGGGGAAUCUGGAAGGCCCCAUCGAUGGACAUCACUGUCUCCUCUGUGGAACCCUGGGUGACUCUGGACAUCAUGGAUGCAAAAGAACCUGGAAACCAACUGCAGAAGAAGUGAGCACAAAAUCCAGUAACAUGAGAGAGGACACAGGGAGAAGAUGCCCAUGUGUAAGCCAAGGAGAGAUGUCUCAGAAGAAACAGCUUUGCCAACACCUUGAUCCUGGACUUCCAGCCUCUAGAACCAUAGGAAAAUCCAUUCGUUUGGUUUAGUUCACUCAGUCUGUGGUACUUUGUUAUGGCAGCCCUACCUAGCUAAUAUAUCCUUCAUAGGGAGGCCUCAUACACUUGUGGACAUAUUCUAGUUCUUAGCCAUGUGUCUCUGAUCUCAGGUCUGCCCCUCUGAAAGAAGAGCUUCAUUGCUUCACCGUGUGGAUCUUUCUCCCCUUUAUGGAAUCCCUGUCAGGGGUUGGUCUUGCCUUCAGAUUCUCCUCCUGCUCCAGCCGUGUGUUCCCUCAGACAAUGGUAGCAUAAAAGAGUGCAUUUCCUGAAGUCAAUGACUGUCACUGAUGCAAAAAUACAAAACAUUGCAGAGAGUUGUUGGCACCCCAAAUCCUAUAGCCACUGAGAUCCCCCAGUUUAGAUGGGCAUAUGAUAAUUCUUCCAGGCUAUCCAGCAGGGUAUUGUGAAGUCAGUCACAUUUGUUUACACCAGGGGUUGAAGGAAUAUCAAAUGUAAGGUUCCUGAGGUAGGAAUAAUCAUGGUGUGUUUAAACAAUAGCAAGAAAGCCAGUGCGGUUGGAACAUUGUGACCCUGGGUGGGGAAUUACAUAGAAGAUUAAUUCAGAAUUACUUGUGGUCUAAUUUUGCAUGCUUAUAUCUGAUAAUUGGAACAACUAAUUUGAAGGCAACAAUAUACAAUACAACAAGCAUUGUUGAAUUCCUACUGUCUUAUUUAAUGAAGCUCUGUUUCAUUUCUAAUGUUUUUUAUUACUUACUAUUAUCUUUAAUUGAUUAGUCUUCCAUUCUUACAUCUGGUAAUGUGAUCAACUUUGUUGACGAUAACAAUAUGUAAUAUAACAACCACUGUUAAUUCCUAUCAUCUUGUUUUGAAGGCUUGUAUCAUUUUAUUGUUUUCAUUUUGUUUUGUUUUUAUCUUCAUUAUUGUUAUGUUGUUAUUGUUUUUUUCUCUUUUUUUUUUUAUUUUUUUAUUUUAAGGAUAAAAGGAGGGAAACAUUAACAGACAUACAACAUUUUACAACAUAUCACAAGCACAAUACAGACAAUACAGAGUUA